GCGGGCUGAUCUACAGGCUCGACUUUUUGUUUUGGAGGUUGCUGCUCGUCGUUGGUUAUAUGGGGAGGCGUUUUGGUGGUCCAAGUUUCCUAGGCAGUGCUUUUGCUGGCAGGGAAAGUUCAGAGGAAUAUGCUUUGAGAGGUGUCAUAAUAUGAAAGGAAACAAUUAGUUCUGCCCAAGGGUGUUUCUUUGUACCGGGGCAUUGUCUCCAUAUGCUAGAUGAAAUCCAUGCCUCCCACAGUUAUUGAAGGUGUGUUGCUUCCAUUUGCAAGUAAGAAAGUAAUGCUCCUAAUGAAUUUGCUACAGUUUUUGUGCUCUGCUGAACUUUCCUUUAUUUUGUCAUUUUGGCGGGUGUAUUCCAUCGGAUUUUGCAGAAUCUACCUGACUACACAAGGUUUUGCAGGUAGCAUCAGCAAGAAUUGUUGGGCUUAAAAAUCCAGGAUGGUGUUGUUAAUGCAACAUCUCUGUUUGAAGAGUUGGUGACUGUAGUUUUUGGAAACUAUAGUGAUGGGCUAAUCUACCAGACUGUGGAGCUGCCUCAGAAUGGCGAGUUUUCUUGUGCCAAUGAAACUGGUUCUCAUAGAUCGUAAAGGAUGCUUCUAUUAUGUUUAUUUGGCUUCAACAUUACCUAUAGCAAGAUGCAUUUUUUUCGCUUGUUUUUUUCCCUGCAAGACCUUAUUCCUUGCACUCUUGAGUCUUUUGAGAAGGAGAAAAUUAUUGUUGGGAGGGAAAAAGACUGAUCAUGAGUUCCUGAAACAGAGUGCAACAGUGAAGAACAAGAGGCUUUUUUGUUGAUGAGUCGGCCUAAAUAUAUUUUAGAUGAUUGCCAAAAAGUUGUUAUUGAAGGAUUGGAGUCAAGCUUAGGAUCAGUUUAUCCUAUGGGUCUGUACUACAAGGUUGAGUGCGUCAACCGACAACGCAGAAAUCAGGUUUAUAGACGAGUGCUUUAUGCCGGGGUGGACGAGCUUCCGUUAGGCCAUUGAUUUCCCAAUGAAGGAGCUUUGAGGCAAGCACUGCAAUGAUGUAUAUUUGUAUAUGGCAUAAUCUGUAGGAACCCUCUCCUUGUUUCCUUUUGUUCUUGGUUUUGCUCCAGUUGAUUACUGCCCUAUGAGAUCUGCACAGACAAAAUUCAUGUUGAUUUGUUUAGUUGUGGCAUG
Molecule: long non-coding RNA, 1157 nt
Organism: Triticum aestivum (bread wheat)
Lineage: Eukaryota; Viridiplantae; Streptophyta; Magnoliopsida; Poales; Poaceae
Exons: 5
Source: RefSeq, a predicted model, not a curated record